RNAcentral lists this ribosomal RNA (412 nucleotides) under uncultured Lysobacteraceae bacterium. RNAcentral describes it as "bacterial SSU rRNA". It matches the Rfam family "Bacterial small subunit ribosomal RNA", at positions 506 to 916 of the family's 1533-position model. Lineage: Bacteria; Pseudomonadati; Pseudomonadota; Gammaproteobacteria; Lysobacterales; Lysobacteraceae. The record is from RNAcentral.
UGCCAGCCGCCGCGGUAAUACGAAGGGUGCAAGCGUUACUCGGAAUUACUGGGCGUAAAGCGUGCGUAGGUGGUUGUUUAAGUCCGUUGUGAAAGCCCUGGGCUCAACCUGGGAACUGCAGUGGAUACUGGACGACUAGAGUGUGGUAGAGGGUAGCGGAAUUCCUGGUGUAGCAGUGAAAUGCGUAGAGAUCAGGAGGAACAUCCAUGGCGAAGGCAGCUACCUGGACCAACACUGACACUGAGGCACGAAAGCGUGGGGAGCAAACAGGAUUAGAUACCCUGGUAGUCCACGCCCUAAACGAUGCGAACUGGAUGUUGGGUGCAAUUUGGCACGCAGUAUCGAAGCUAACGCGUUAAGUUCGCCGCCUGGGGAGUACGGUCGCAAGACUGAAACUCAAAUGAAUUGACGG